CUGGCAGUUGUAAGGCGUGGCAGAGAAGAAUGUUUCAGUGAGAUGGAUUUGGAUUUGUUCACAAAACAACAGCACAGUUUGAGUCUGUUCACAUCCGAAGGUGAGAGGCCAGGGUUUUUAUAGAAGGUGCGGUUGGAAUAAAAAUGUCCCAUCCACUGAAGUGGAAUGUUUCCUCUCCAGAAGUAGCCAAUACAGAGGACACCAAAUCUUUGGAAGGGAGAAUUUGAUUUUGAUAUCUGGCACUGACACCAUUGUUGAUCUCAUCUUGGCUCAAACAAGCACACGACU
Molecule: long non-coding RNA, 288 nt
Organism: Callorhinchus milii (elephant shark)
Lineage: Eukaryota; Metazoa; Chordata; Chondrichthyes; Chimaeriformes; Callorhinchidae
Exons: 3
Source: RefSeq, a predicted model, not a curated record